Papaver somniferum (opium poppy) is the source of this 750-nucleotide long non-coding RNA. RefSeq lists it as uncharacterized. The record is from RefSeq and is a predicted model, not a curated record. The transcript is spliced from 5 exons. NCBI's taxonomy places the organism in Eukaryota, Viridiplantae, Streptophyta, Magnoliopsida, Ranunculales, Papaveraceae.
GUUGCAAGUGCAACGAUAUCCAGGAUUGCUGUCAGAAGUGAUGCAAUAACUAUUUUCUUGGCAUGCAAAAUUGGUCGUAUCUUUUUUUGCAUCUUCACAAGUCUUGUUCCUAAUGGCCCAAUCAAGCACAAUAGAGAGCCCACAUUAAUAAAAACCUACUGCAGUCAAAAUCCUUUAGGUGUUUGUAGCAUGGCUGAUGUACUAGUUUGUUUAGGGGUGUACCAAAAUCAAUAUAAGACAAAAUAAUCAUCCCAAACAAACUGGUAUCCCCAUUAGCGCAUGUCACCACUAGUGGAAAUGUGGAAUUUGUCAAUUGCUUCGGAACAAGUCCCUAAUGCAAACUGCUUGAUGCAUAGAAAGUUCAAAGUUCAAACCACAACUUUCCGCAAAUUAAGGCGGUAAAGACUACAGAGUUCUCACCGGGGUUAAUGGUCGAGAGCGAUGUGGAUGAGAAUCAUGAGAUUACCUCAACUAAAAGGCCAUGGAGGAUUAGGAAUCGAGGAGGGAGGGCGCAUCUUCAGGACUGAGAUAUGGGUUCCCCAAAUAUCCAUCGCUGCAAGUGCAACGAUAUCCUGGAUUGUUGUCUGAAUUGAUGCAAUAACUCUUUUCUUGGCAUGCAAAAUUGGUCAAAUCUUUCUUUGCUUCUUCACAAGUCUUAUUCCCAAUGGCCCAAUCAAGCACCAUAGCUUGGGAGGUUGAAAUGAAGUGUUGCAGGUAAGUCCAUAACCAAUCCCAGCACCAUCAAUGGAG